UCUAAUGUGACAGAUAAAUGUGUUAGUUUUAAGAACUAUUUAUAGCCCGGCUCUUUAGAA
RNAcentral lists this transfer RNA (60 nucleotides) under Cyamus ovalis. RNAcentral's name for it is "tRNA-Leu". Lineage: Eukaryota; Metazoa; Arthropoda; Malacostraca; Amphipoda; Cyamidae. The record is from RNAcentral.